RNAcentral lists this long non-coding RNA (1523 nucleotides) under Mytilus galloprovincialis (Mediterranean mussel). Lineage: Eukaryota; Metazoa; Mollusca; Bivalvia; Mytilida; Mytilidae. The record is from RNAcentral.
AGGUGACUUAGAAUGGAAGGUUCUUGAAAAAGUAAGAGAUUAUGGACAAAAUGUGACAUUAUUUUGCAAUGUUUCAAACUGCUGCCCAAAAAUUGCAGGAUGGGAUAAGUACACUCCAGUACAACAGACACUAUUCAUAGAUCUUAAAAAAGGACGACCAAAUAAAAAAUAUGACGGAAAGGUUGUAAAGGAUGGAUACACCUUAGUUAUACAAAAUCUGACUAAAGAAGAUCUUAAUGUUUCAUAUGCCUGUGUAUAUGGCUCUACAAUCGGCGAUAAACAAUCCCUACUGGAAGAGAAUGUUUUUAAUUGUAAGUACUAGCUACCACUGAGUAAAUAUGUCGUUUUGAAAAUUUGAUGUGAUUGAAUCAUCACAUCCUGCUACAACACAAGACUGUUUGUCGAGUUUUCUUUAAACAUGCUAAAGAAUACUUUUGGAUUGAAACAAAGGCAGAUGUGGGAUGAUAUAAGAAAAAAACUUCACAUUGACUAACAUAUCAUCAUCAUUUCAAGAUGUUCCCAUUCACUUGAUAAGUCCAGUUAAUAAUAUUUGUAGAAAAUUUUCCAUAAGUUACUUUGGCAGUUUUGUUUUACUGCAAACGCCCCUUUUGUCUUCAUUAGAAACUUCAUAGGUGUGAUGUAUUCUAAACACUCCUACAGUAGAUCAGGCUUUCAUUUGAUACCCGAAACAUGCGUUUCGUCAACACAAGACUAAUUAGUGACGAAUCAAAAAGGUUACACGUCCGAAUCAGUCAUGACGCUGAAGAUCAUUGAAAACCAAACAAUUCCGAAAAGUUAUGACUAAUAAGAGGUGAUGAGGAUAAAUAAGUCAGAAUUUACUGGGAGUCAGCAGAAAUCGAAGACCAAUAUUGUUUUCUUGGACAAUCAGACAGUGUUUCACAGGUCCUGGGAUACCUUACUGUAACUUGGACGGUGGACUAUAAUCAUAAAAGCAAUUCAGAAGAAUAAAGAAAUAUAUAUUUGUUGUGAAAAGAAAAGUUAGCGAUACAAGAUUUACAAACAAAUAAAAAAGACCAAUUUCGUCCGUUGACUUUUAUACAUGCUAGUUUAAGUAUCCUUCGUUGCCGUUUUCAUUGAUUUCUUUGGUGUUUUAAGUUGCUUUUAUCAUGCGAAACUGACCACUUAAAUUAUCAGGAAGAUGUAUAACAUAAUUGAAAACAACUAAAUUGACCAGUUGACUCUUUAUAGCGACAACGGUUGACCAAUGUUUAGGCUUUUGUCAUUUUGUUUUACAUAUUUUAGGAGAGAAUAAAAAUAAUAAAACUAAACUAGGAGAAGAUCGAAGACCUAUAAACGAGGUUGAUUCGUUUCAUAAAUUUUGUUUAAGUAAAUUGGCUGAUGCUGUUGCGAAUGAUUUUAAAAUUGCAUAUUAACACCUGAAGAAGGAUUUAUGGUCUAUAAAGCAUAAACUUAUGUUGAUUCAUGGUACAUUGUAUAAUAUAUUUUGAUACAGACAUAAGUACUACACAACACAAUGGUCCAAUCGAUAACAGAAAUGUUUC